Molecule: long non-coding RNA, 1137 nt
Filed under: Anas zonorhyncha (Eastern spot-billed duck)
Lineage: Eukaryota; Metazoa; Chordata; Aves; Anseriformes; Anatidae
Description: lncRNA (ENSAZOG00000011741.1)
Source: RNAcentral
GCAGCGGGCAGUACUACCUGCUGGACGCCGCCCCGCAGCAGCCCCCCAAGCGGCNNNNNNNNNNGCCGCCGUCGCCACCGCAGCCCCGGCGGCCGUCGAGGCUCCACCAGCCACCCUCUUCCCUCCGCCGCUGCCGCCCUUCGCCGCGCCGCCGCCGCAGCUACUCUGCUUCUCGCCCUCCGUGCCCGCCGCCGAGCCCCUGCCGCAGCGCAGGGUGCUGCUGGACGUGAGCAGCGGGCAGUACUACCUGCUGGACGCCGCCCCGCAGCAGCCCCCCAAGCGGCGCCUCUUCGACCCCGAGACGGGGCAGUACGUCGAGGUGCCGGUGCCUGCGCCCGCCGUCGCCCCGCUGCCGCUGCCGCUGCCGCCCUUGGCCCUCAACGCCGGCGCCUACGGCACGGCCUACAUGCUCUACCCUGGCCUGCUGCCCGCCGCCGCCGUGCUGCCCGCUGCCGCCCUGCCGCGCCCGCUCUCCCAUCCAGGCAGCGAUGGCAGCGCGGCGGCCGAGCCCGGCAGCCCGGCGGUGGAGGCCGAGGGGCCUUAUUUCGUGCCCGGUGGCGAUGGCCCGGCUGCUGCCUCGACGGCGGCCUCGACGGUGGCGGCCAAGCCGCUGAUCAGCAUCACGGCGCCUGCCGGCGGCCCGCGGCUUGUGGCACCGCCGUCCUUCGACGGCACGACCAUGCGGCUGGUGGUGGAGCACCGGUAGGCGGCGGGGAGGGGGCCCACGGGGGUCCCCAGAGGAGGCCGGGGGCGAAGCGGUGCCCACACAGCAGCAGGAUUGUGCCCGCGGCCCCUUCUCGUCUUCCCCUGCGUGCAGCGUUGCCAUUCAGCUGCGUAACGCCCUUCUCCCGCGGCGGCUUUGUUUCUGCAUUUCUGUCUUUCUUUCCGCUCCUGUAUUUCACCCCGUAUUGUAUUUCAUCUCUGCCUUCCUUGCUUGUUUUCCUCCUUUCCCACAUCUUCCCUCACACACCGCGCCGCCGUGCCAGGGACUCGUCCCUCUCGGCCUUCGUCACCGGCUGGCUUUUGGCAGCACGGUUCUUGCCUGGGUCUCCUGCCACCCUUUUCCUUUCAGACAGAGGAAAACCAAAGAAAAAAAAACAAAGAAACAAACAAAAAGAUGCUGAUUUCCAGCUGUAG